GAUGAACGCUGGCGGCGUGCCUAAUACAUGCAAGUCGAGCGAACAGAUGAGGAGCUUGCUCCUCUGACGUUAGCGGCGGACGGGUGAGUAACACGUGGAUAACCUACCUAUAAGACUGGGAUAACUUCGGGAAACCGGAGCUAAUACCGGAUAAUAUAUUGAACCGCAUGGUUCAAUAGUGAAAGACGGUUUUGCUGUCACUUAUAGAUGGAUCCGCGCCGCAUUAGUUAGUUGGUAAGGUAACGGCUUACCAAGGCAACGAUGGGUAGCCGACAUGAGAGGGUGUUCGGCCACACUGGAACUGAAACACGGUCCAGCCUACUACGGGAGGCAGCAGUAGUGAAUCUUCCGCAAUGGGCGAAAGCCUGACAGAGCAACGCCACGUGAGUGAUGAAGGUCUUCGGAUCGUAAAACUCUGUUAUUAGGGAAGAACAAAUGUGUAAGUAACUAUGCACGUCUUGACGGUACCUAAUCAGAAAGCCACGGCUAACUACGUG
Molecule: ribosomal RNA, 497 nt
Filed under: uncultured bacterium
Lineage: Bacteria
Description: partial 16S ribosomal RNA
Rfam family: Bacterial small subunit ribosomal RNA
Source: RNAcentral